CGGGGGGGGGUCUUCACACAGGCAGGUCCUGGAGGGAAGGAGGCCACCACGCCCACCUCCCAUCCGAAGGCACAGCACCGCAGUGGUGGCCUGUGCCAGACAAGGGGGUGAGGGAUGGAAUGUCCUAGUGGAAAAGAAAGAACAUGUGAGUGCUUUUGAAAACACAGCAAGAGGACUUGACCACAAGCUAAAGGAAAAAAAACCCUAUAUAGUUUCAUCGAGUGAGAAAAAUAAUGCCAAACAAAAUAAUUUUAUGUAACUACCUC
This 266-nucleotide non-coding RNA is filed under the name Pongo abelii (Sumatran orangutan). The record is from RNAcentral. Lineage: Eukaryota; Metazoa; Chordata; Mammalia; Primates; Hominidae.